This 269-nucleotide ribosomal RNA is filed under the name uncultured bacterium. RNAcentral's name for it is "partial 16S ribosomal RNA". It matches the Rfam family "Bacterial small subunit ribosomal RNA", at positions 793 to 1055 of the family's 1533-position model. The record is from RNAcentral.
GUCCACGCCCUAAACGAUGUCAACUAGGUGUUGGGUGGGUAAAACCAUUUAGUACCGGAGCUAACGCGUGAAGUUGACCGCCUGGGGAGUACGGCCGCAAGGUUAAAACUCAAAGGAAUUGACGGGGACCCGCACAAGCGGUGGAUGAUGUGGAUUAAUUCGAUGCAACGCGAAAAACCUUACCUACCCUUGACAUGUCCAGAAGCUCUUAGAGAUUUUGAGUGUGCCCCGAAAAGGGAGCUGGAACACAGGUGCUGCAUGGCUGUCGU